RNAcentral lists this unclassified non-coding RNA (343 nucleotides) under uncultured soil eukaryote. Its description in RNAcentral is "sequence contains 5.8S rRNA gene, ITS2, 28S rRNA gene". The record is from RNAcentral.
AACGCACAUUGCGCUCCUUGGUAUUCCGGGGAGCAUGCCUGUUUGAGAAUCAGUAAAAUUCAUCGACAGCGGUUGCUGUGUUGUUAAGACACGGUGACGGCCGUCGGAUAUGAGCCUUUUGUGCCUGGCACAAUGGCUUGAAAUUGAAUGUCAAGAAACUCUGGGACACCAGUCUGGUUUCAAGUGCAUGAGAGGUGUGUAUUCAUUUUGAAACGUUUGAAUCGCCGGAUCGGUUAAAGACCCAUUGCUUCGUGACCCAACCAUCAAUCGGAGGUGCGGGGAGGAAUCCCAACGCUUCUGAACACUUGGUCUCAAAUCAGGUAGGAAAACCCGCUGAACUUAA